CAGUUGGGAAUCUUCGGCAAUGACGAAAGUUUUGCCGAGCACGCCGCGGGAGUGAAGAAGAUUUGCGAUAGUAAAACUCUGUUGUUAGAGAAGAACAAGGAUGAGAGUAACUGUUCAUCCCUUGAUGGUAUCUAACCAGAAAGCCACGGCUAACUACGUGCCAGCAGCCGCGGUAAUACGUAGGUGGCAAGCGUUGUCCGGAUUUAUUGGGCGUAAAGCGAGCGCAGGCGGUUUCUUAAGUCUGAUGUGAAAGCCCCCGGCUCAACCGGGGAGUGUCAUUGGAAACUGAGAGACUUGAGUGCAGAAGAGGAGAGUGGAAUUCCAUGUGUAGCGGUGAAAUGCGUAGAUAUAUGGAGGAACACCAGUGGCGAAGGCGGCUCUCUGGUCUGUAACUGACGCUGAGGCUCGAAAGCGUGGGGAGCAAACCAGGAUUAGAUACCCUGGUAGUCCACGCCGUAAACGAUGAGUGCUAAGUGUUGGAGGGUUUCCGCCCUUCAGUGCUGCAGCUAACGCAUUAAGCACUCCGCCUGGGGAGUACGACCGCAAGGUUGAAACUCAAAGGAAUUGACGGGGGCCCGCACAAGCGGUGGAGCAUGUGGUUUAAUUCGAAGCAACGCGAAGAACCUUACCAGGUCUUGACAUCCUUUGACCACUCUAGAGAUAGAGCUUCCCCUUCGGGGGCAAAGUGACAGGUGGUGCAUGGUUGUCGUCAGCUCGUGUCGUGAGAUGUUGGGUUAAGUCCCGCAACGAGCGCAACCCUUAUUGUUAGUUGCCAUCAUUCAGUUGGGCACUCUAGCAAGACUGCCGGUGACAAACCGGAGGAAGGUGGGGAUGACGUCAAAUCAUCAUGCCCCUUAUGACCUGGGCUACACACGUGCUACAAUGGGAAGUACAACGAGUUGCGAAGUCGCGAGGCUAAGCUAAUCUCUUAAAGCUUCUCUCAGUUCGGAUUGCAGGCUGCAACUCGCCUGCAUGAAGCCGGAAUCGCUAGUAAUCGCGGAUCAGCACGCCGCGGUGAAUACGUUCCCGGGCCUUGUACACACCGCCCGUCACACCACGAGAGUUUGUAACACCCGAAGUCGGUGAGGUAACCUUUUGGAGCCAGCCGCCUAA
Molecule: ribosomal RNA, 1113 nt
Filed under: Enterococcus faecium
Lineage: Bacteria; Bacillati; Bacillota; Bacilli; Lactobacillales; Enterococcaceae
Description: bacterial SSU rRNA
Rfam family: Bacterial small subunit ribosomal RNA
Source: RNAcentral